This 221-nucleotide ribosomal RNA is filed under the name Euplotes focardii. Its description in RNAcentral is "partial Bacterial large subunit ribosomal RNA". It matches the Rfam family "Bacterial large subunit ribosomal RNA", at positions 1605 to 1810 of the family's 2925-position model. Lineage: Eukaryota; Ciliophora; Spirotrichea; Euplotida; Euplotidae. The record is from RNAcentral.
CUUCCAGGAAAAUCUUCUAAGUAUAUUGUAUAGGUAACCGUACUGUAAACCGACACUGGUGGGUAGGUAGAGAAUACUAAGGCUAUGAGACAACUCUGGUGAAGGAACUAGGCAAAAUAACACCGUAACUUUGGAAGAAGGUGUGCCCAUGUUAUGUGAAGGGACUUGCUCCUGGAGCAGAGAUGGGUUGCAAUUAUCAGGUGGCUGCGACUGUUUAUCAA